Molecule: long non-coding RNA, 475 nt
Organism: Panicum virgatum (switchgrass)
Lineage: Eukaryota; Viridiplantae; Streptophyta; Magnoliopsida; Poales; Poaceae
Exons: 3
Source: RefSeq, a predicted model, not a curated record
UCUGGUCAAGUUGGACGAGAUCCGGAAGAAGAGGAAGCCGGAACUGAUGGCGCAGCUAGAGGAGCUCAAGGCGGAGAUGAAGAAACUCAAGGAGGAGUGAUCUCUCCCCGGCGCCAAGGUCACCGACGGUGCCCCCAACAAGCGGUCCGAGAUCGAGAAAUUGCGCCCUUUUCUCGCGGAGAUGGCGAAGAAGCAUAGGGCGGCGCUGCGGGAGGCGUACAGCAACCGCGAACCCCUCAUCCUCCAUCUCAACUCCCAAGAAGACCCAUGCUGCACCGCCGCAUCACCACCAGGUGUUAUCAUGCUCCCAGCUUUCUCUGAAGAUGGAGUGGUCUCCGAAGGCGCCCAGUUCGUGCGCGCGGUCUUUGACGGCGGCGGUGUCGAUACUGUUGUGAAUGAACUUUGCAAUGUAAUGAACACAAAAAUGUAGUGGGAAUGAGCAGUCUCUUUCAUUGAUCAUUUGGUGCUAUUUAUA